This 309-nucleotide small RNA is filed under the name Drosophila guanche. The record is from RNAcentral. Lineage: Eukaryota; Metazoa; Arthropoda; Insecta; Diptera; Drosophilidae.
CUGCUGCAGCAUGUGCUGGUGAUGCUGCAUUGCGGCCAUCAGAGCCAGUUGCUGCUGUGGGUGGUGCAGCGCACAGACGGGCGGCACAAUCUGUGCCCCCUGCGGCGGAGUUGCGGUCUGCUGCAACAACGGGGGCGAUGCCGGCAGUGAACAGUUGGAGGAACCACCGUCCGAAGGUGAAUGUUGCUGCUGCUGCUGCUGCUGCUGCAGUUGUUGCUGCUGUGGUUGAUGCUGCUGAUGCUGCUGAUGCAGUUGUUGCUGCUGUGGUGGCGGUUGGGUUGCAGUUGCCACUGUUUGCUGCAUGUGUUG